Molecule: microRNA precursor, 206 nt
Filed under: Oryza sativa Japonica Group (Japanese rice)
Lineage: Eukaryota; Viridiplantae; Streptophyta; Magnoliopsida; Poales; Poaceae
Description: MIR812 microRNA precursor family
Rfam family: MIR812 microRNA precursor family
Source: Rfam by way of RNAcentral
AAAAAAAACAAACCCUGGUUUCUGUGCCCAACGUUUAACCGUCCGUCUUAUUUUAAAAAAUUAUGAAAAAAAAUAAAAAGACAAAUCACGCAUAAAAUAUUAAUCAUGUUUUAUCAUCUAACAACAAUAAAAAUACGAAUUAUAAAAAAAUUUCAUAUAAGACGGACAGUCAAAGUUGGACACGGAUACCCAGGGUUUGCCUUUUU